Peromyscus leucopus (white-footed mouse) is the source of this 779-nucleotide RNA transcript. It is a transcript of the gene named proteasome subunit beta type-5-like, with no coding region annotated. The transcript has a single exon. NCBI's taxonomy places the organism in Eukaryota, Metazoa, Chordata, Mammalia, Rodentia, Cricetidae. The record is from RefSeq and is a predicted model, not a curated record.
AUGGCGCUGGCCAGCGUUUUGGAGCAGUCGGUGCUGGUGAACCAGGAUGGGUUUUUUGGACUCAGAAGUCAGAAAGAUCCGCUGGAACUGGGUCUGGGGAGUCCUGGUGAUGGGCUGAGCCUUGCUGCACCAAACUAGGGUGUUCUAGAAGAGCCAAAAAUCAAAAUGUUUCAUGGAACCACCACCCUGGCCUUCAAGUUGUGCCAUGGAGUCAUUGCAGCUGAUUCCUGGGCCACAGCAGGUGCUUAUACUGCCUCCCAGACAGUGAAGAAAGUAAUAGAAAUCCACCCUUACUUUCUGGGCACCAUGGCUGGGGGGGCAGCGGAUUGUAGCUUCUGGGAGCGGUUAUUGGCUCAGCAAUGUAGAAUCUUUGAGCUUCGAAAUAAGGAAUGCAUCUCUAUGGCAGCGGCCUCCAAACUUUGUGCUAACAUAGUAUAUCAGCACAAAGGCAUGGGACUGUCCACCGGCACCCUGAUCUGUGGCUGGGAUAAGUGAGGCCCUCGCCUCUACUGUGUAGACUGUGAAGGGAACAGCAUUUAGGGAACUGUCUUUCCGGUGGCUUCUGGCUCCAUGAAUGUUUACGGGGUCAUGAAUUGAGGCUACUUCUAUAACCUAGAAAUGGAGCAGGCAUAUGAUCUGGCCCUCCGAAUCAUCUACCAAGCCAUCUACAGAAAUGCCUACUCCCGAGAUGCACUCAACCUCUGCGGGAGGAUGACUGGAUCCAUGUCUCUAGAGACUAUGUAGCUGAUUUACACAAGUAUAGUGCACCUGUCCUCUGA